Molecule: transfer RNA, 76 nt
Filed under: Bacteroidetes bacterium ADurb.Bin416
Lineage: Bacteria; Pseudomonadati; Bacteroidota
Description: tRNA-Val
Rfam family: tRNA
About the family: Transfer RNA (tRNA) molecules are approximately 80 nucleotides in length. Their secondary structure includes four short double-helical elements and three loops (D, anti-codon, and T loops).
Source: RNAcentral
GAGCUGUUAGCUCAGCUGGUUUAGAGCACUACCUUGACAGGGUAGGGGUCACUGGUUCGAAUCCAGUACAGCUCAC